Molecule: ribosomal RNA, 408 nt
Filed under: uncultured bacterium
Lineage: Bacteria
Description: partial 16S ribosomal RNA
Rfam family: Bacterial small subunit ribosomal RNA
Source: RNAcentral
AGUGAACGCUGGCGGCGUGCCUAAUACAUGCAAGUCGAACGGCGUGGCGCACGCGUGAGUAAUAUAUAGCUAAUCUGCCCCUUGCUGGAGGACAACCGAUAGAAAUGACUGCUAAUACUCCAUAGCAAGGGAUAAGACUAUAUCGUAUCAGCUAGUCGGUGGGGUAACGGCCUUCCGAGGCGAUGACGCGUAACUGGUCUGACAGGAUGAACAGUAAAAUUGGAAGUGAGACACGGGUCAAACUCCUACGAGAAUCGGCAGGAGGGAAUAUUGCGCAAUAGGCGAAACCCUGGCAGAGCAACGCCGCGUGGAGGAUUAAACUUUUCGAAGCGUAAACUCCAUUUGUUAGAGAAGCGGUACCUAACGAAUAAGCACCGGCUAACUCCGUGCCAGCAGCCGCGGUAAUAC